Molecule: ribosomal RNA, 275 nt
Filed under: uncultured Staphylococcus sp.
Lineage: Bacteria; Bacillati; Bacillota; Bacilli; Caryophanales; Staphylococcaceae
Description: partial 16S ribosomal RNA
Rfam family: Bacterial small subunit ribosomal RNA
Source: RNAcentral
ACGUUAGCGGCGGACGGGUGAGUAACACGUGGGUAACCUACCUAUAAGACUGGGAUAACUUCGGGAAACCGGAGCUAAUACCGGAUAAUAUUUCGAACCGCAUGGUUCGAUAGUGAAAGAUGGUUUUGCUAUCACUUAUAGAUGGACCCGCGCCGUAUUAGCUAGUUGGUAAGGUAACGGCUUACCAAGGCGACGAUACGUAGCCGACCUCGAGAGGGUGAUCGGCCACACUGGAACUGAGACACGGUCCAGACUCCUACGGGAGGGCAGCAGCA